Long non-coding RNA from Arachis duranensis, 877 nucleotides. RefSeq lists it as uncharacterized. The record is from RefSeq and is a predicted model, not a curated record. The transcript has 5 exons. NCBI's taxonomy places the organism in Eukaryota, Viridiplantae, Streptophyta, Magnoliopsida, Fabales, Fabaceae.
UUCAAUCAAUUUCCCAAACAUUAACCCCAAACCUCCAGAGACUCAAAGUUCAGAGUGAAGCUGCUGCUGCUUCUUCUUCUCCAACGCUUGAGAGUAGAGACCAGAGACGAAGUCACCGUCACGGAGAGAGGCAGAGAGCAGAUCAGUAGAGCUUCUUCUUCUCUGACGAUUGAGAAAACCUGCCAUCCUCCGUCGAAGAGCAGAGCUUCUUCUUCUUCUUCUCCUCCUCCGCCGAGCCCGCCGCCGCCGCGCCAUCCUGUUCAUGUUCCUAAUUCUUCUCCAACGGCAGAAGCUGCCGUUCUGAUAUGUAUGGAGCAGCGGUUUUAGAUGCAUGUGAGCAAAUAAAGGUACGCAUGGAACCUGUUGCUUCACGGAACAACUUCAACUCAUUUGCUGAGGAGGAAAGCAGAUCUGCUGCCAUUGGAAGGCAGCAGAUGGUUACAGAGAAAGGUGGAAAUUUGAUUCAGACACUUGGCAGGGGUUCUGUUCGAAAUGAAGAGAAAACUCGCAGAUUACUAUAACCGUACUUAAAAUAUAAUAUACCUGUAAUCUUUGGUUCUGCUUUCUGUUUUUAGAAUACUUAGAACUGCACUAACGGUCAUUUCUAUCUUUUCUCCUUGGUCUUGGAUAUGCUCACUAAAGCACAUUCAAAAUGGGUACCAUGGAGCAUAUAGUCCUAUUAGGAGAAUCAAGAUUCUUGGAUGGCAACAAGUUGCUGAAAAAAUUGGAAUGCAACAUUGUGCUGCAUCAGGCCAAUGGCUAAAUGAGAGAAUUGCUCUCUCAAGAUAUGCCCAUGUACCACUUGGGAAUUUUGAACUUGACUGGCUUAUAUUUACAGCAGAUACCUUCUUCUCAAGAGCUUUGCGUGAUAGUCAAC